Molecule: long non-coding RNA, 1262 nt
Organism: Meriones unguiculatus (Mongolian gerbil)
Lineage: Eukaryota; Metazoa; Chordata; Mammalia; Rodentia; Muridae
Exons: 3
Source: RefSeq, a predicted model, not a curated record
CGAACCUGCCGUCCUAGGGAAAGAAAACGAAACCGGAGCGUGUGGAGGCGCGAGAACUUCUUGCAAGGGGUGGGACCUGCAUUUCGACACUUUAGGAUAGGGAGGGAAGAGCUGAGGAUAUUAAUGAUGGAGACCAUUACUGAAAAUUGAAAUCAAUCAAAAUGCAGAGCUGUGGAGCCCAGUCUCCACAAAACACUCUUUCCACUAAGGCUCAGGGAACAUUGAAAAACAGUGGAUGGAAAGAUGCAAAAGCCAGAGGAUCAGUAUGUUUGCUGUGAUUGUGUCUUCUGGAAAUCUCAGAAUCUAUGCUUGUGAAGUCCUCCCAACAUGACUGCCUAAGCAUGAGCUGAACAAGGAGGACGCCAAACACAGGAAGCCAAAAAGCUAUGGUUUACAAAAGUGAAGCCUCUGGUAUUUGCAAGUAUUUCUGAUUCUUCUGGACCAGGCUCUGUCUUCACCUUUGACCCACACUGUCAAACUGUUUUUCUGAUACUGUUCACGCCAUAUCUCCUCGUGUAGGCUAUGGUUAUUGUGUAAUUCAAAUGCUGAUUUCUAUACCCCACCCCCAUUUUCUGGUUGUAAUCUUUGUUCCAAGAAUUGCCUGUCACAAUGUUGUGUAAACACUGCUCCCCAAGUGUCCCCUGGUGUGCCAAUAAAGCAGCUUAGAGCCAAUCGCUGAACAAGGGGGAGAAUCUGGCCUGGACUUCCUGCCAGCCAGGGGAGGAGUUAGAGGAGGGAGUUGGGCCAUGGGCAGAAGUCCAAGAGACAUCAAGAGAAGGAGCUGGAGGAGUGCAAGUAUCACUGGGCUGUACCCUGGGAAGAAAGCAGAUUAGCAAGGAAGGUUAAGAAUAGAGCAAUAACUGCUUAGUUAUUGUGUUGUGAAGCUUGUUAUUAAACAAAUAUAAAAGAGUCCACAGACUUCCACACAGGUGCAGAGAACACAUACUCAGCAUAUACACAAUAACUGUAUAAACUGAAUAUGUGACCAAUCCAUGGUAUGGUUAAAGGAAAGAUUUUUUUAUUAUAGAUGUGAGAGAACAGCCAGAGGCAUUUGAAAGAGCACAGAGCAGAGAAAGAAAGUAGUAGACUAAACAUGGCCAGCAGACUGACUGUUCCUGGCCAGGGCUAUCUUUUAGAGAGGGGAGAUAGCAGGAAAUAGAGAACAGAGAAAGCAUAGCAAGUUUAUUUCUGGGUAUCUGGACUAUACAAACUACCUCUUGUAGUUUGGGGAGUUGGAAUUUCCUUUGGACCUGACAAUAACA